GAUGAACGCUAGCUACAGGCUUAACACAUGCAAGUCGCGGGGCAGCAUGGGGGUUGCUUGCAACUCCCGAUGGCGACCGGCGCACGGGUGAGUAACGCGUAUCCAACCUGCCCUUCACCACGGGAUAACCCGGCGAAAGUCGGACUAAUACCGUAUGUUGUCCAUUGACGGCAUCCGAUUUGGACGAAAGGCUUCGCGGUGAAGGAUGGGGAUGCGUCCGAUUAGCCAGACGGCGGGGUAACGGCCCACCGUGGCUACGAUCGGUAGGGGUUCUGAGAGGAAGGUCCCCCACACUGGAACUGAGACACGGUCCAGACUCCUACGGGAGGCAGCAGUGAGGAAUAUUGGUCAAUGGGCGUAAGCCUGAACCAGCCAAGUAGCGUGCAGGAUGACGGCCCUAUGGGUUGUAAACUGCUUUUAUGCGGGGAUAAAGUGGCCCACGUGUGGGCUUUUGCAGGUACCGCAUGAAUAAGGACCGGCUAAUUCCGUG
Molecule: ribosomal RNA, 490 nt
Filed under: uncultured bacterium
Lineage: Bacteria
Description: partial 16S ribosomal RNA
Rfam family: Bacterial small subunit ribosomal RNA
Source: RNAcentral